CUCACGGACUCACGGCAGGGACGGUGAAAGAGACUACCAUACGAGAGAUGAAUACCAAUAGACUUGUCCCUCCUCCUCCUCCUCCUCCGUAGCUCCGACUGAACGGUGCAGUGGCGGGAUGGCGCGCGGAUAAUAAACUAUGCGGGGGCAUUUCAUUAUAAAACACUCGCUAGAUUUAGUUUUCACCACCUUACAUCCGAUAACAAAGACCCCGUGAAAAUGUAUCUUCGAUGUUACGACCCUUCCCACGAACCGGCUAAUACCAAUGUUUUGAAUCAUAAACGUACAGCAUAAUGCCUUUGGACACGCGCACGCACGUGAGCGCGCAGGGGAAAGCUUUAAGUAAACCCAGAGCCAUAUAGAGUGAGAGUUGCGACAACUCCAUUGACUCCAAUGGAACGCUUUUUUUACAGCAAUGGCGGCUCGUGGAGCCUCUCAAUAGUUCCCGGAAGUAGCGGCAAACCGAUGCCGCGCCGUAGAAGAUGCAGCAGAACAAACCGUUUGCAACGCACUUUUAACAGGUCUAGGGGUGCAUCGUGGAGCAGGGCCCUCCUCUUUUUGACCACAGGACGGUGUACAAAGAUUGUGGGAAUAGCAUCUGCUGGGAAGAUAUACAUUCGCACACCUUUCUCUGACUGAGUGGAGCAUCCCCAUGCAGCACAGUAAACCACGGUGGAGACUUUGCAAGGACAACAUGAAAGAAAGGACACAUACAAAAUGCUUGUCAUGCUAUUAAAUUUAUUAGAAAUGUA
Carassius auratus (goldfish) is the source of this 752-nucleotide long non-coding RNA. RefSeq lists it as uncharacterized. The transcript has 3 exons. Lineage: Eukaryota; Metazoa; Chordata; Actinopteri; Cypriniformes; Cyprinidae. The record is from RefSeq and is a predicted model, not a curated record.